UUUCCCAUGAUGUCAAGCAAAGAGGCACUGAGUUGAAAGAACUGGUCCAAAUAGGGAGCUGGAAAGUGAGACCAUCAAUGCCUACAUGUUCCAUCUGGUGCGAAAUUUUUAAAGGCAGUCAACCGAGCAAGCUUUCUACAAUGACCUUUAAAAUUACUGGCAUUUGGGGAGCAAGAAAUCAAAACUUAAGAUUGAUCCAAUGAUGUACAAGUACAUUAUUGGCAUCAUCAAUGAACACAACCACUGGACUGUGACGGUUAUCCUGCCAUCCCAGAAGAGGGCUCUGUUCCUCAAACCAAUGGGAAAAAGUGCCAGAAAGAUAAAAAGAUGCCAGGGGGUGAACAAGAUCAUUCCUGAGAGAGAAGGGGUGUAAUAUCUCCAGAUGGGUAUGUGGUACCCUUCCUCACCCAUGCCAACAAGAUGUUACUUCUUUUGGGGUCUUUGCCUUGAAAGAGGAGUCGAUUGUCUUUUCAAAUACGGACGA
Long non-coding RNA from Oncorhynchus tshawytscha (Chinook salmon), 484 nucleotides. RefSeq lists it as uncharacterized. NCBI's taxonomy places the organism in Eukaryota, Metazoa, Chordata, Actinopteri, Salmoniformes, Salmonidae. The transcript is spliced from 7 exons. The record is from RefSeq and is a predicted model, not a curated record.